RNAcentral lists this ribosomal RNA (497 nucleotides) under uncultured bacterium. Its description in RNAcentral is "partial 16S ribosomal RNA". It matches the Rfam family "Bacterial small subunit ribosomal RNA", at positions 28 to 507 of the family's 1533-position model. The record is from RNAcentral.
GACGAACGCUGGCGGCGUGCCUAAUACAUGCAAGUAGAACGCUGAAGAGAGGAGCUUGCUCUUCUUGGAUGAGUUGCGAACGGGUGAGUAACGCGUAGGUAACCUGCCUUGUAGCGGGGGAUAACUAUUGGAAACGAUAGCUAAUACCGCAUAACAAUGGAUGACACAUUUCUUUUAUUUGAAAGGGGCAAUUGCUCCACUACAAGAUGGACCUGCGUUGUAUUAGCUAGUAGGUGAGGUAAUGGCUCACCUAGGCGACGAUACAUAGCCGACCUGAUAAGGUGAUCGGCCACACUGGGACUGAGACACGGCCCAGACUCCUACGGGGGACAGCAGUGGGGAAUCUUCGGCGAUGGGGGCAACCCUAACCGAGCAACGCCGCGUGAGUGAAGAAGGGUUUCGGAUCGUAAAGCUCUGUUGUAAGUCAAGAACGGGUGUGAGAGUGGAAAGGUCACACUGUGACGGUAGCUUACCAGAAAGGGACGGCUAACUACGUG